CUUCUACUUAGAUUGUCCACCAUGGACGCACUGGCUUAGACAGAACUACAACACCUGGAAGAUCCGGACCGGUUUUUCAGUUGUAAUGUCCUCCUCCUUCAC
Sphaeramia orbicularis (orbiculate cardinalfish) is the source of this 102-nucleotide long non-coding RNA. RefSeq lists it as uncharacterized. The record is from RefSeq and is a predicted model, not a curated record. Lineage: Eukaryota; Metazoa; Chordata; Actinopteri; Kurtiformes; Apogonidae. The transcript is spliced from 5 exons.